This 21-nucleotide unclassified non-coding RNA is filed under the name Mus musculus (house mouse). RNAcentral describes it as "oocyte_clustered_small_RNA9564". Lineage: Eukaryota; Metazoa; Chordata; Mammalia; Rodentia; Muridae. The record is from RNAcentral.
UUCAUUGAGAAGGGUGAGGUG